UCCCGGGUCGACUAAGGGCAAGUCCUUGGUUUUUGGUGCCAAUGAUGGGGGUUCGAAUCCUCCCCCGGGAGC
RNAcentral lists this transfer RNA (72 nucleotides) under Streptomyces daqingensis. RNAcentral describes it as "tRNA-Gln". It matches the Rfam family "tRNA". From Rfam's summary of the family: Transfer RNA (tRNA) molecules are approximately 80 nucleotides in length. Their secondary structure includes four short double-helical elements and three loops (D, anti-codon, and T loops). Lineage: Bacteria; Bacillati; Actinomycetota; Actinomycetes; Kitasatosporales; Streptomycetaceae. The record is from RNAcentral.